CGCACGAGCGCACCCUUAUCCUUAGUUGCCAGCACGUAAUGGUGGGAACUCUAAGGAGACUGCCGGUGACAAACCGGAGGAAGGUGGGGACGACGUCAAGUCAUCAUGGCCCUUACGAGAUGGGCUACACACGUGCUACAAUGGCAAGUACAAAGGGUUGCAAACUCGCGAGAGUAAGCGGAUCCCAUAAAGCUUGUCGUAGUCCGGAUUGGAGUCUGCAACUCGACUCCAUGAAGUCGGAAUCGCUAGUAAUCGUGGAUCAGAAUGCCACGGUGAGUACGUUCCCGGGCCUUGUACACACCGCCCGUCACACCAUGGGAGUGGGCUGCAAAAGAAGUGGGUAGUUUAACCUUCGGGAGAACGCUCACCACUUUGUGGUUCAUGACUGGGGUGAAGUCGUAACGAGGUAGCCCUAGGGGAACCUGGGGCUGGAUCACCUCCUU
RNAcentral lists this ribosomal RNA (443 nucleotides) under uncultured Gammaproteobacteria bacterium. RNAcentral's name for it is "bacterial SSU rRNA". It matches the Rfam family "Bacterial small subunit ribosomal RNA", at positions 1088 to 1532 of the family's 1533-position model. Lineage: Bacteria; Pseudomonadati; Pseudomonadota; Gammaproteobacteria. The record is from RNAcentral.